Long non-coding RNA from Hippocampus zosterae (dwarf seahorse), 3770 nucleotides. RefSeq lists it as uncharacterized. The record is from RefSeq and is a predicted model, not a curated record. The transcript has 2 exons. Lineage: Eukaryota; Metazoa; Chordata; Actinopteri; Syngnathiformes; Syngnathidae.
UGUACUUUGCUUAACGACAGACUCAUUGGCUGAACAGUGUGCCUGUUACCUUGUUAACCAGGUCAGGUUGUCGAUGCACGGGAGUGGGCUGGGGAGAGCCAGUGCAAGUGAACUCAACUUCGGCUGUGUAGGUUGACUAUAAUCUUUAAAUGCUCCUAAGUUUUUGCAAACGCUGUGAUUUUAGUAAAGUAACAUAAAUAACUAGUGUGUCUAGAAAUAGGUGAAAUAUGCUUGGAUCACAACAUGCCACUUUUUUAAAAAUGUAGUAAUAUGACAAGAUAAACUUGGGACCGGUAAGUAGAGCCUUAUUUAUACACUUCUGUUAAACGAUAUUGGAAAUGGAUGGAAGGAUGGACGUUCUUUAUUCGUCUGAAAUUAAUGAAAUAGACUACAUCUCGCCUGUCUUUGGACUACCUACAGUUCUUAUAAUGUAAUUAUUGCAUAUUUGGAUCAUUUAUUUAGGAAUAAACCUCCAAUCACAGUGUACAGUACACUGCUUGCAUCGGGUCCGUGGAACUAUUUUAUACUUCUUUUUAUGACAUUUACACCAGAUGUCACGCAAUAAACGCCCCCGGUUCUUAAUGUUAUGUUUUGACGGUACAAUGAGUGUUUUUCAUAAUAUCGUUUGUGUUUUGCUGCCAGUGCAAUGAUUGAAAAGCUCUAAAAGCAGGUAAGCCACUGACUAACGCACAUUGCGCCCAAUGCCAGUUCCACUGUGCGUGUGACAGCGGCUAACCUGGUUUUGGGAAUGCCUCUCAUGGAGCAGACAAGACAUCAUUCAGCAAGCACGCCUUCACCAUGUCCCAGUACUAUUCUAUAUUACCGAUCGGGCAAGCCUGCGUUGGGGGAUCCAACAACCCCGCCCUUUGUGCACCUACUGUACUUUAUGGUACCACACGGCGGUUGCACGUAUUCUUGUAGGUCCGAACUCUGUGACCUACACUCUCAAAUACUUUUGUUCCUUCAUAUUGAAUAUCCAUGAUAUGACUGCAACACUUUGCCUGCAAACGAUACCAGUUCAUCUCAUUACUUAAUGCUCUUUGUGUGAUUUGUAAAGUGACAUAAGCGAGCGUGAUAUAUCCCCCCCUCCCUUCUUUUUUUGUGCAAGUGGUCUCAUUGAAACGAAAGCGAUCAUUUUAAUGGGAAGUCCGCAUGCUCCUGGAAAGGGAUCAUCCGGCAAACAACUCCAUCGCUUUUCUAUGUGACUGAAGCAGCUGGUUGGACAUUUGAUUGGAAACGUCUGGACGGCAUUGUAGGACUCUUUGUGUCCACAAGUAGGCGUCAGCGGUGCACAUUGUCUGUCCAGACAGUGGCGCCAACACAUGGUUAGAGAGAUUAUAUAACCCGUACCAGACAGCUCUAAAUCUUCUCACGAUAAUCCACUUCUAGAUUAUAUCUAACCUGGUCAUCUUGUGAAGUUUAAGUUCACAAUUUACACAAUGCAUGAAGUUUUAAAACACUCUGAAAGUAAAAAGUUGAAACUGUUGACAUCAAAUGAGUGACAGAAAUCCAGAGAUGGGCCUGAGACUAAAAUUGACAUCACACGACUCAGGCCAUUUAUACACCAACGGUAAAUCUGGGAGUCGAGUUUUGCAUUGAUCACCCUGGCAUGUUGUUCAGCAUACCUGUGCAAAUGGAAGCCAAUUAAUUUCCAUUUUAAGACAAAAGGAAUGUCUGUGCAAUUAAAAAAAUGUGUUUGAGUGAAUAUGACUGCACAGUAUGGACUGACUGAUAUUUUAUGUUUUAAAAACUCUUGAUCAUGCUUGGGUAUUUCUCGAGACCUUUUGUCUGAGGUCAGCGGGCCGUCAGAUCUACAGAUCAGACGCUAAAGAUCCAUUCGCACCAAAUCCAGUAGACACUUAAACAGCUUCUUCCCUCUAGCCAUUAAAUCCUUAAACAGUCACUGACAGUCACUCUUCUUGCACCACAAAAUGGUACUUCAAAACUAGUGGUUACUCUAAAAUGGUUCAAUGAUUUUGUUGUUUACGAUGAUACUAGUGCAGCGUGUUAUACCGGAGACAAAUUCCUUGUGUGUUCUACAUACUUGGCCAAUAAAGAUGAUUCUGAUUCUGAUUCUGAUUCUGAUUCAAUGAGGAGAGUACAGUACUUAGAAGAAGAUCCGAGGGUGGUGAAGAAGAGCUGUGUUUUUCUGAUAAAUUUGAGUGUAAAGAAUUGUUGAAUUUUGAAUUUUAUAUUUUAAAACUACAUAAUCAUGCAACAAACAGAAUCUUACUUAAAAGAGUUCAGACUCUACAGUUGGGAAGUAUUUAGACAGUUUCAUGAUUUUACCUUUAUCCACUCAAACAAUGGAAGUUAAAUAUGAAAACCUGACUUCAUUCUGGCGAAGAAGCCAGGAUUGUCCAGAUAAAAACCUUUCCAAGCCUGAGUACAAUAUCCAAACUCAACACAGGAAGACUGAGGCAGACAUGCUAACCACUGAUCCACUGUGCUGCCAGCAUAUAAGAACACAGCAGUCAUGGCCAUUUUAUGCAGAACAUCAUUUUUGUUCAUUUGUUUGUUUUUAAGAUCAAAACAAAAGUAUGGUUCUAUUUCUGGUCAUUUUAUACAGAACACCAACAUUUUUUUUAAAUUGGAUAUUACAUUGGAAAAUAAUAUUGGAAAAACUGUCAAUAUAAAUGUACAAUUAACACUUGACAGAAAUGUCAGGGAUUAUUCUUCAAGAGACAACAUCACCAUCUGCAGCGAGCAAAUUCUGAAUGUGAUUAUGUCCAUGAGCUGCAGACUUGAAGCAACCAUUGACUUCAAUUUAUAGAUAGUUGCAUGCAGGAAUUUUGAUUUAUGGUCAUAUUUACAAUUCGAACUUUGUUCAAUACUUUUCAGCCCAUUCUGGCCAAAUACAGUAUACUGCAUUUAAGUGUGUUAGCGGCAACUAUUGAAGUGACACAGAAGCUGAAAGGCUAUAAUCUGUAAUUCUACCACCAAUUCUCAACUACUGUAUAUAUCUUGACUUGGACAGAGCUGCACCAAAUAUAAGUGAUGUGUGAAUUGUGAUUAUGUUGUCUGUUUGGCUGAGGUAAGAAAUUGCUUGUGGUAUCCCAAAAGGCCUACAUAUGUAUAGUGUGCCUUCAUCAUCGCAUUUUGUCAAUCUAUGAUGUUUGGAACAGCAGCAGAUCUGAAGCCAAGAUAGUUGCCAAAUUUACAGCUGCUGCACGCGAAGUGCACUUUUCAAGCAUCUGUGUGUGGAUGGUUCUAAAAAGCCAAGGAAUAAUCACAACGCAUCACCGGACCAUUGUGCCACAAAGUACGGAAAAGAGAGUGAAUAAUUCAAAUCUUAUCAUGUAUUCGUAUUCCAUUUAAUUUUUGAAGUGCAGUGUUUAUUGCUGGAGGUUGCGGAUACAUUAGUUCACAAUUAAAGUGAUUAAAAUUAAUGUAGCUAAUUAAAUACAAUCAAAACACAAAAGAUUCUCCAAAACAUGAAGACAUUUUUUAUUACAUUUAAAUAUGAGGUAAUAAUUGCUAAAAGGUUCCUAAAGUUUACACAGGUAAUUUGUAGCACUUACAGUAACAAAACACUGUAAAUAUAUUUGUCUUAAGUAUAUACAGUAUGUAUAUCAUGGUAUUAUUAAUAAUGAGAUUUGCAAAGAAAGGGGUUAAAUUGGUGAUGGUGACAUAAAAAGUGAACAAUUUUCCCUUGGCCCUGUGGUCCAUGUUUAUCGCCAUGAUGACUCUCGGGACGUCAGGACUGCAAGACACAAAAACAAGUAGGGAUAAUGAUCCCAUUGUUUAAAAAAAGCAAACAAAAAACAAAA